AUUGAACGCUAGCGGGAUGCCUUACACAUGCAAGUCGAACGGAGUGGCGAACGGGUGAGUAAUGUCUCGGAACGUGCCCAGUAGCGGGGGAUAACUACCCGAAAGCGUCGCUAAUACCGCAUACUAUCGUAUCGGCCUAUGUCGGAUUAGCUAGUUGUUGGGUUAACGGCCCACCAAGGCGACGAUCCGUAACUGGUUUGAGAGGAUGACCAGUCACACUGGAACUGAGACACGGCCCAGACUCCUACGGGAGGCAGCAGUGGGGAAUUUUGGACAAUGGGGGAAACCCUGAUCCAGCCAUGCCGCGUGUGCGAUGAAGGUCUUCGGGUUGUAAAGCACUUUUGGCAGGAAAGCGGUACCUGCAGAAUAAGCACCGGCUAACUACGUGCCAGCCGCCGCGGUAAUAC
Molecule: ribosomal RNA, 407 nt
Filed under: uncultured bacterium
Lineage: Bacteria
Description: partial 16S ribosomal RNA
Rfam family: Bacterial small subunit ribosomal RNA
Source: RNAcentral